UACGUAGGGUGCGAGCGUUGUCCGGAAUUAUUGGGCGUAAAGAGCUUGUAGGUGGCUCGUUGCGUCGGGAGUGAAAACCUGCGGCUUAACCGCAGGCCUGCUUCCGAUACGGGCGAGCUAGAGUUCGGCAGGGGAGACUGGAAUUCCUGGUGUAGCGGUGAAAUGCGCAGAUAUCAGGAGGAACACCGAUGGCGAAGGCAGGUCUCUGGGCCACUACUGACGCUGAGGCGCGAAAGCUAGGGGAGCAAACAGG
RNAcentral lists this ribosomal RNA (253 nucleotides) under uncultured bacterium. Its description in RNAcentral is "partial 16S ribosomal RNA". It matches the Rfam family "Bacterial small subunit ribosomal RNA", at positions 524 to 776 of the family's 1533-position model. The record is from RNAcentral.